RNAcentral lists this transfer RNA (69 nucleotides) under Pteropus scapulatus (little red flying fox). RNAcentral's name for it is "tRNA-Trp". Lineage: Eukaryota; Metazoa; Chordata; Mammalia; Chiroptera; Pteropodidae. The record is from RNAcentral.
AGGAAUUUAGGUUAAACACAGACCAAGGGCCUUCAAAGCCCUAAGUAAAUGCAGCACGUUUAAUUCCUG